Molecule: long non-coding RNA, 369 nt
Filed under: Ananas comosus (pineapple)
Lineage: Eukaryota; Viridiplantae; Streptophyta; Magnoliopsida; Poales; Bromeliaceae
Description: long non-coding RNA (ACOM_LNC043955)
Source: RNAcentral
GUUAUGUUUUAUUUCUGCAUUUAGUAAUUUAAUAAUUAAAUGGUUCAGUUAGAUGAUCCCCUGAAUGUUUGAAUGUCCGUGAACUUGUUUGAGUUGGUGAUUUCCGUUAUGCAUGUGAUUGGAGAUUUAUGGAUCUGUGGCUUUGGUUUUAUGGAUAAUUGGUUCUUUGAUUUAUGUAUUUAUGCAUCGUGGUUUUCUACCCCUCGAGGUAGUCGAUUUUCAAAACAGAGUUUCCGAGUGGGAAACAAUUUUAAAAGGAUUUUCGAAUGGUUUUAUGGAUGAUUAAUUAGAGUUUAAAAACAAAGCUUCCGAGUAGGGAGCACUUUUAAGUAGGAUGAUUGUUGUACUGUGCAUCGCAUCAUCCAGCGC